Molecule: long non-coding RNA, 589 nt
Filed under: Salmo salar (Atlantic salmon)
Lineage: Eukaryota; Metazoa; Chordata; Actinopteri; Salmoniformes; Salmonidae
Description: lncRNA (ENSSSAG00000100027.1)
Source: RNAcentral
AACAUUUCACUUCUGUUCUGAACUACUGUAUCUACACACCAUCUAGAAGUUUUUGUUUGUGUUGUCUCUUUCUUCCCGCCUCCUCUUCCACCCUAUCCCAGGACCUGAGCCCUAGGACCAUGCCUCAGGACUACCUGGUAUGAUGACUCCUUGCUGUCCCCAGUCCACCUGGCCGUGCUGCUGCUCCAGUUUCAACUGUUCUGCCUGCGGCUAUGGAACCCUGACCUGUUCACCGGACGUGCUUGUUGCACCCUCGACAACUACUAUGAUUAUUAUUAUUUGACCAUGCUGGUCAUUUAUGAACAUUUUAACAUUUUAACAUUUUGACCAUGUUCUGUUAUAAUAUCCACCCUGCACAGCCAGAAGAGGACUGGCCACCCCUCAUAGCCUGGUUCCUCUCUAGGUUUCUUCCUAGGUUUUUGGCCUUUCUAGGGAGUUUUUCCUAGGGAGUUUUUCCUAGCCACCGUGCUUCUUUCACAUGCUUUGCUUGCUGUUUGGGGUUUUAGGCUGGGUUUCUGUACAGCACUUUGAGAAUAUCAGCUGAUGUACGAAGGGCUAUAUAAAAAUAAAUUUGAUUUGAUUUGAGUUG